AGAGUUUGAUCCUGGCUCAGGAUGAACGCUAGCGAUAGGCUUAACACAUGCAAGUCGAGGGGCAGCACGCUUUCGGGUGGUGGCGACCGGCGCACGGGUGAGUAACGCGUAUGCAACCUACCCAUAACACGGGGAUAGCCCGGAGAAAUCCGGAUUAAUACCCGAUAACACAGGGAUACCGCAUGGUAUUAUUUGUUAAAGAUUUAUUGGUUAUGGAUGGGCAUGCGUUCCAUUAGAUAGUUGGUAGGGUAACGGCCUACCAAGUCAGCGAUGGAUAGGGGUUCUGAGAGGAAGGUCCCCCACACUGGUACUGAGACACGGACCAGACUCCUACGGGAGGCAGCAGUGAGGAAUAGGUCGAGAGACUGAACCAGCCAAAUCGCGUGAAGGAUGACGGUAUUAUGUAUUGUAAACUUCUUUUAUAUGGGAAUAAAAAGAGUUACGAGUAACUUAUUGUAUGUACCAUAUGAAUAAGCAUCGGCUAACUCCGUGCCAGCAGCCGCGGUAAUACGGAGGAUGCGAGCGUUAUCCGGAUUUAUUGGGUUUAAAGGGUGCGUAGGUUGUUUUUUAAGUCAGCGGUGAAAUUUUAAUGCUUAACAUUAACAUUGCCGUUGAAACUGGGGAACUUGAGUGUGAACGAGGUAGGCGGAAUUCGUAGUGUAGCGGUGAAAUGCAUAGAUAUUACGAAGAACUCCGAUAGCGCAGGCAGCUUACCAGGCCACAACUGACACUGAAGCACGAAAGUGUGGGUAUCAAACAGGAUUAGAUACCCUGGUAGUCCACACAGUAAACGAUGAUUACUCGCUGUUUGCGAUAUACAGUAAGCGGCCAAGCGAAAGCGUUAAGUAAUCCACCUGGGGAGUACGCCGGCAACGGUGAAACUCAAAGGAAUUGACGGGGGCCCGCACAAGCGGAGGAACAUGUG
RNAcentral lists this ribosomal RNA (925 nucleotides) under termite gut metagenome. RNAcentral's name for it is "bacterial SSU rRNA". It matches the Rfam family "Bacterial small subunit ribosomal RNA", at positions 8 to 943 of the family's 1533-position model. The record is from RNAcentral.